RNAcentral lists this ribosomal RNA (406 nucleotides) under uncultured bacterium. RNAcentral's name for it is "partial 16S ribosomal RNA". It matches the Rfam family "Bacterial small subunit ribosomal RNA", at positions 30 to 526 of the family's 1533-position model. The record is from RNAcentral.
AUUGAACGCUGACGGCAGGCCUAACACAUGCAAGUCUAACGAGUGGCGGACGGGUGAGUAAUGUCUGGGAAACUGCCCGAUGGAGGGGGAUAACUACUGGAAACGGUAGCUAAUACCGCAUACUAUCGGAUGUGCCCAGAUGGGAUUAGCUAGUGGGUGGGGUAACGGCUCACCUAGGCGACGAUCCCUAGCUGGUCUGCGAGGAUGACUAGCCAAACUGAAACUGAGACACGGUCCAGACUCCGACGGGAGGCAGCAGUGGGGAAUAUUGCACAAUGGGCGCAAGCCGGCUGCAGCAAUGCCGCGGGUAUGAAGAAGGCCUUCGGGUUGUAAAGUACUUUCAGCGGGGAGGCGUUACUCGCAGAAGAAGCACCGGCAAACUCCGUGCCAGCCGCCGCGGUAAUUC